RNAcentral lists this ribosomal RNA (301 nucleotides) under uncultured bacterium. RNAcentral's name for it is "partial 16S ribosomal RNA". It matches the Rfam family "Bacterial small subunit ribosomal RNA", at positions 509 to 807 of the family's 1533-position model. The record is from RNAcentral.
CAGCCGCCGCGGUAACACGAAGGGGGCUAGCGUUGCUCGGAAUGACUGGGCGUAAAGGGCGCGUAGGCGGUUUUGACAGUCAGAUGUGAAAUUCCUGGGCUUAACCUGGGGGCUGCAUUUGAGACGUCAAGACUAGAGUGUGAGAGAGGGUUGUGGAAUUCCCAGUGUAGAGGUGAAAUUCGUAGAUAUUGGGAAGAACACCGGUGGCGAAGGCGGCAACCUGGCUCAUUACUGACGCUGAGGCGCGAAAGCGUGGGGAGCAAACAGGAUUAGAUACCCGCGUAGUCCCUGUCUCUUAUAC